This is a non-coding RNA of Brugia pahangi, 84 nucleotides long. The record is from Rfam. Lineage: Eukaryota; Metazoa; Nematoda; Chromadorea; Rhabditida; Onchocercidae.
GCAGCGAUGGCCGAGUGGUUAAGGCGUUGGACUUAAGAUCCAAUGGACGCUAAGUCCUCGUGGGUUCAAACCCCACUCGCUGCA